ACGUACGCGGACUUUACCUGGCUGCGAUGACAGUAGGCGUUAAAGGACGGAGAAGGACAGAAAGACGGGAAGAAGUGGGUCAGCACGGGAUAAUUUCCACAGCGCUAUCCUCGGUUAAGUCCAUGACUGCGACGGUCCAGCAUCUGCAGAGCCGACCCUUCACGAUGACCCCUGCAAUGGCACCCGUGUGACAGGUGACAGUACAGGAAAAGGAGCCAUUCAAUGGCACCGCCGCUCUUCAAUGGCUGGGAUCUGAGAUCACGCACCUCCGAAGUGGCUGCGGCUGUCCAAAUCUCUUCCCGGACACACGGACGGUUGCCAUAGAGAUUCCAGGGACAUCUGACUCAAGGAUGACAGGAGUUGUUAAUUCUGAGACAUAGUGUUGUUAUUUAUAAAUCUAGGAGCAGGUUUAAAGCACAUUAAAUAAAAAAAAUUGACACCAUAUCUGCCAUACUUCAAAAAUGAAACAAAUUCAGAUUACAUAGGAUCACAUUUCCCACAAUGAUGUGCAGAAUUUAUGAUUCUGUCAGCACAUUUCCACAUUUUGGUUUGUGUUCCAACUUUGAUUUGACUCAAAAAUUUCAUGCAACUUUAAGUUCCUCUCUGAUCAUCUUUUGAUCUAUUUUAAAAGCAUUUUAACUUUUAUAUUAUAUUUUAUUCUUCUGUGUUGUGGAUGGGACUGCAUCAGAAUAAAAGUUGAAGUAAAAGAAAACAAAAAACUGUGCACCAGAUAGUAACUGCAAAAAAUAUUUCUAAAAUUUGAAGUUAAAAAUUUAUUUCUGUAAAACUGAAAUUAAUUUUUUUCUGAAAAUAAAAGUAAAAGAAAAAUAAUUCUAGUUACUAAAUGAUGCAAAUGAAUUACUAUCUGGUAAGCACUAGUGUUGCCCAGAAUUUAGUUUUUUUACUUUCUAUUUUUUAUUUCAGUGUCUCUUCAAGGGCUCUGUAUGGAUCUUUAUUUAAAGUUUAUUUUAAAAAUUGAUAAAAAAUAAAUAAAUAAAUAAGGACAAAGAUCUUUUCUACUGUCCGGGUGUUGUAAUAAAUUGUGGAAUAAUGUAUAUCCACCUUUGUUUCAUGCGUCUGUUGCUCUGGUUACUAACUUGUUUACACCAGCACAAUAAUUUAAAAACAUUCAGACUAUUUGACCAGAACUUUUUUUUUUAGAUUUCUACUACAACUCUUUAAGAGGCACCCUGCAGCCAAUCAGAAUUGAGUAUUCACCUCAACGAUAGUAUAAAAACCUCUGAACAGGAAAAAAGAACACAGGCCGAUGCAAAGAUCGCCUGUCCUCUCGCUGACACACAAACCCGUCAACAGAAGGUUUCCAUCUCCAUCAUCACCUCCUGGGACCCGCUGUGGCUCCGGCUCUGGCUCCACUUUGAGAUGAAACAUGGUCUCGGUUCUAAUUAACCCAGAUGUGGGUAUUAAUAAGAUAAAAGCAGGUCUAGACUGGAAAUGGGGCAGAUUGAGAGGAGAAGGUCCAACUCCAAAGUGGGACACCUUGGUCCCUCCUCUGACAGGGGAAUAAAGUCAGAUUCUAUAUAAACCUUACCCAGCGGCCCUUUUUUAAUUGGUUCCCGCUUCUCUGGAGAGUUUGGCACCACGAGAAGCUGAGAAUAUCCGUCAGGGAGGGAGGUAAAGUGUCACGUGACGACAACAAACACAGACAUCGGUUGAUACGGGAUUUGUAUUUUUGCUUUUUUGUUUUCGAUUCUGCUUUAACUUUAGCCCCAGGUGACCAUCGAUUGAUGUCUGGCUUCA
This is a long non-coding RNA of Oryzias melastigma (Indian medaka), 1758 nucleotides long. RefSeq lists it as uncharacterized. NCBI's taxonomy places the organism in Eukaryota, Metazoa, Chordata, Actinopteri, Beloniformes, Adrianichthyidae. The transcript has 3 exons. The record is from RefSeq and is a predicted model, not a curated record.